GAUGAAGAACGCAGCGAAAUGCGAUAAGUAGUGUGAAUUGCAGAAUUCAGUGAAUCAACGAAUCUUUGAACGCACAUUGCGCCCCUUGGUAUCCCGAGGGGCAUGCCUGUUCGAGCGUCAUUUCACCACUCAAGCCUGGCUUGGUGUUGGGCGACGUCCUCUUUGGGGACGCGCCUCGAAACGCUCGGCGGCGUGGCACCGGCUUUAAGCGUAGCAGAAUCUUUCGCUUUGGAAGUCGGGGCCCCGUCUGCCGGAAGACCUGCUCGCAAGGUUGACCUCGGAUCAGGCAGGGAUACCCGCUGAACUUAAGCAUAUCAAUAAGCGGAGGA
RNAcentral lists this unclassified non-coding RNA (329 nucleotides) under soil metagenome. RNAcentral's name for it is "partial contains 5.8S ribosomal RNA, internal transcribed spacer 2, and large subunit ribosomal RNA". The stretch from base 1 to 120 matches the Rfam family "5.8S ribosomal RNA", at positions 35 to 154 of the family's 154-position model. The record is from RNAcentral.